This 103-nucleotide small RNA is filed under the name Escherichia coli. Its description in RNAcentral is "partial RtT sRNA". It matches the Rfam family "RtT RNA", at positions 1 to 98 of the family's 130-position model. Rfam says of the family: This family represents a bacterial cis-regulatory element known as RtT RNA. The record is from RNAcentral. Lineage: Bacteria; Pseudomonadati; Pseudomonadota; Gammaproteobacteria; Enterobacterales; Enterobacteriaceae.
UUGCAUUUGAAGCCCAUGAGGAUGAGAACCUCCGGGGGCAGGGAGGUUCGACUCGAGCGAAGCGAGAGAACGUUGCGCCAGCAACGGCCCGCAGGGCGAGCCA